UACGUAGGGGACGAGCGUUGUCCGGAAUUACUGGGCGUAAAGGGCGCGCAGGCUGUAGAUCAAGUCAGCUGUGAAAUGUCUGGGCUUAACCCGGGCAUGCGGUUGAAACUGAUGUACUGGAGUGCUGUAGAGGCAAGUGGAAUUCCCAGUGUAGCGGUGAAAUGCGUAGAUAUUGGGAAGAACACCGGUGGCGAAGGCGACUUGCUGGGCAGCAACUGACGCUGAGGCGCGAAAGCCUGGGGAGCAAACGGGAUUAGAUA
Molecule: ribosomal RNA, 260 nt
Filed under: uncultured prokaryote
Description: partial 16S ribosomal RNA
Rfam family: Bacterial small subunit ribosomal RNA
Source: RNAcentral